UAUGGAGCUUUAGACACACAGGUGGCCCAUGUCAAAUAACCCCCGCUAAGGGCCUGAACUAAGUGGAGCCUGCCUUGAUGUCUUCGGUUGGGGCGACCAUGGGGAAUACAAAACCCCCACGUGGAAGGGGAGCACACCCCUAAGUUACUUCUUCUCCCGCAAGCCAGAGCAACGGCUCUAACCAGCAGAAAUUCUGACCAAAAUGAUCCGGUAAUACCGAUCAACGAACCAAGUUACCCUA
Molecule: ribosomal RNA, 241 nt
Filed under: Limanda aspera (yellowfin sole)
Lineage: Eukaryota; Metazoa; Chordata; Actinopteri; Pleuronectiformes; Pleuronectidae
Description: partial 16S ribosomal RNA
Source: RNAcentral